UUUCCGUAGGUGAACCUGCGGAAGGAUCAUUAUUAUAUUCGGAGUAGUGUUUACUGCUAGAAUUCGUUGUUUUUGUUUGUUUUGUUUUGUUUGUUGUUGUUUGUUAUGUUCUGGUUUUCCUUGCCUUUAAUUAGGUAUAGCUCCUUAUGUUUUCUAGUAGUAACACUCUCCCGAAUAUAAAAGGAGCAAGAUACCCUUUAUAUUUAAAACCUACUCUUAAAUAUUUAUUUGUAUUUUAAAUGAUAAAUUAAAGAUCACUUUCAACAACGGAUCUCUUGGCUCUC
RNAcentral lists this unclassified non-coding RNA (284 nucleotides) under root metagenome. RNAcentral describes it as "partial contains small subunit ribosomal RNA, internal transcribed spacer 1, and 5.8S ribosomal RNA". The record is from RNAcentral.